Molecule: long non-coding RNA, 1811 nt
Organism: Oryctolagus cuniculus (rabbit)
Lineage: Eukaryota; Metazoa; Chordata; Mammalia; Lagomorpha; Leporidae
Source: RefSeq, a predicted model, not a curated record
CGCAGAACAAUUGGCAGCAGCUGAGACACAACAAAGGCCAAAGCCUCAGGCUGGCUCUGUCUUGAACGCCACCCCACAAACUGACCCUUCAUCAGAGCGACCCCACCAGGAGGACCAGGGCUGUCCCACUGAGGGGCUGCACUUCACGGCCCAGCACCUGCUGUUGACCGGGAGCCGUCGUGUUUUCUAAGACCAACAAAGCGUCCUCUGACAAUCAGGACAAGAGGAGGUUAGCUAAGGGCCCCCACACAUAGAAUCCUUAUCAAAUAUGUCUCCAGCCCUCGGACAAGCGACAAAGCAGCCCAUCAGAGUGGCCGUCCUGAGCCCCUCCACCCACCCGCUUCCCUGACAAUUGAGCCCCCGCGAUGGUAACCCGAGGCCCCCAGGCAGCGGGAUGGUCGGAGGCCUGAUUUUCAACACAUGUUUUAUUAAUUCCUUCUUCCCGGGCCUCGUUAAGAAACUAUAAAAAGAGCUGCGUGUCCCUCCCCUGCCAGGAAAAAACUGGGACGUGUGUGUGGGGAGGGGAGCGGCGUGAAAACCAGAGCGACGGGAAUCUCAGCUUUGAGGAAACACACGCGAUGAAAGCCUCCGCCCCAGCUCUGUCAACAUCUGUCACUUCGCUCUCCCCGGGGCGGGGAGUCCUGGACGUCACCAGGCUGCAGGAGAGGCAGUGCGUGCCGGCGAGCGUGGGACUGCGAGGCCCGGCACGGCGGCGCGCGGGGGAGGGUCUUCCCGGAAGCCGCGGGCCGCGCUCGGGCCGCACGUAGCGCCGGGCGUGACUCAGCGCUGACUCACCGCCCUCGCGGCCCCGCGGAGUUCCCUGCCGUCAGCUGCGUGCGCAGCGCCUGUGGCCGGGGCGCGCACGCGGCCUGGCGUCCAUGGCUGCCGCGUCGCGGCCGCAGGGCCGCGGCUUUUCGAUAGAGCCGCGUGCUUUGGCGCGGAGUCCCGACCCAGAGCCGUGAGCGGCCUCCGCGCGCCAUCUCGCUUACCCAUCUCUUUCUUCUGUCAGAAGCCUGUUGCAACAGCAGCCCUGACGUCGCCGUCGCGCGGUGCCUAGCUUCUCCUAGACUGGUCCUUGGUCCAGCAGCCUGGGCAGCACCGGCAGCUUGUAUGACCUGUAUUCUGAGACCUAUCCAUAACUGCUGAAUCUGAAUUUUCACCUUUGCAAAGUCCACAGCACCAGACAAAUGCAGAACAAGAUAACAAGAGUUCCCGGCAAAGGAGCCAGGUUGGGAAGGCCCUCAGUCAAGGAGCAGCCUGCCACACAUCUUGCCUGAAGUUAUUCUGCCUGUGAAAGGAAUGAUUUGUGGUAUCCUCUGACUCUCUACAGGUGAACCGAUGUAGCUCCAUCUGUCAAUUCCUGUAAAGCUGCAGAGGCAGAGUUAUAGAGAGAGAACGGUCUUCCUUUUCCAUUGGUUCACCCCCAAAAUGGCCACUGCGUCUGGCGCCCUGUGCCGAUCCAAAGCCAGGAGCCAGGUGCUUCCUCCUGGUCUCCCACGCAGGUGCAGGGCCCAAGGACCUGGGCCAUCCUCCACUGCACUCCCAGGCCAUAGCAGAGAGCUGGACUGGAAGAGGAGCAACUGGGACAGAAUCCGGCGCCCAACCAGGACUAGAACCCGGGGUGCCAGUGCUGCAGGCAGAGGAUUAGCCAAGUGAGCCGUGGCGCCGGCCUACUUCCCAUUUAUUAUCUAUGUAUUCUUUCUCUGCCUGUUGUCUGUGUUUUUAUUUUUUUUAAGUCAAAGCAACAUCUGUGUCCUACUCGGUGUGAUUUGUAUUGUAGAGAUUUAAUAAAUAGCUUAUGAUCAAUUUUA